GUUAUAUGGUCAAGCGAAUAAGCGCACACGGUGGAUGCCUAGGCGGUCAGAGGCGAUGAAGGACGUGGUAGCCUGCGAAAAGUGUCGGGGAGCUGGCAACAAGCUUUGAUCCGGCAAUAUCCGAAUGGGGAAACCCACUGCUUCGGCAGUAUCCUGCAGUGAAUUCAUAGCUGCUGGAAGCGAACCCGGUGAACUGAAAUAUCUAAGUAACCGGAGGAAAAGAAAUCAACCGAGAUUCCCUAAGUAGUGACGAGCGAACGGGGAACAGCCCUUAAGCUGGAAUGGCUUUAGAAAAACAAUCUGGAAAGAUUGGCCAUAGAAGGUGAUAGCCCUGUAUUUAAAAGGGCCACUCCAGUGAAGACGAGUAGGGCGGGGCACGUGAAACCCUGUCUGAAUAUGGGGGGACCAUCCUCCAAGGCUAAAUACUCCUGACCGACCGAUAGUGAACCAGUACCGUGAGGGAAAGGCGAAAAGAACCCCGGAGAGGGGAGUGAAAUAGAUCCUGAAACCGUGUGCGUACAAGCAGUAGGAGCUCGCAAGAGUGACUGCGUACCUUUUGUAUAAUGGGUCAGCGACUUACUGUUCGUGGCAAGCUUAACCGUAUAGGGGAGGCGAAGGGAAACCGAGUCUGAUAAGGGCGCAUAGUCGCGGGCAGUAGACCCGAAACCGGGUGAUCUAGUCAUGGCCAGGGUGAAGGUGCCGUAACAGGUACUGGAGGCCCGAACCCACGUCUGUUGCAAAAGACGGGGAUGAGCUGUGAUUAGGAGUGAAAAGCUAAUCGAACCCGGAGAUAGCUGGUUCUCCUCGAAAGCUAUUUAGGUAGCGCCUCGGACGAAUACUACUGGGGGUAGAGCACUGUUAUGGCUAGGGGGUCAUCGCGACUUACCAAACCAUUGCAAACUCCGAAUACCAGUACGUACUAUCCGGGAGACACACGGCGGGUGCUAACGUCCGUCGUGAAAAGGGAAACAACCCAGACCCACAGCUAAGGUCCCAAAUUCACUGCUAAGUGGAAAACGAUGUGGAAAGGCAUAGACAGCCAGGAGGUUGGCUUAGAAGCAGCCACCCUUUAAAGAAAGCGUAAUAGCUCACUGGUCGAGUCGGUCUGCGCGGAAGAUUUAACGGGGCUAAGCAGUGAACCGAAGCUUGGGGUGCAUAAAACUUGUUUUAUGCGCGGUAGAGGAGCGUUCCGUAAGCCUGCGAAGGUGGAUUGAGAAGUCUGCUGGAGGUAUCGGAAGUGCGAAUGCUGACAUGAGUAACGAUAAUGCGGGUGAAAAGCCCGCACGCCGAAAGCCCAAGGUUUCCUUGCGCAACGUUAAUCGACGCAGGGUUAGUCGGUCCCUAAGGCGAGGGCGAAAGCCGUAGUCGAUGGGAAGCAGGUUAAUAUUCCUGCACCUCGCGUGAGUGCGAUGGAGGGACGGAGAAGGUUAGGUGUACCGGGCGUUGGUUGUCCCGGGGAAAGGCGGUAGGUUUGGAUCUUUGGCAAAUCCGGGAUCCUUUAAGACCGAGCACCGAGACGAGCCUUUAUGGCGAAGUCACUGAUACCACGCUUCCAGGAAAAGCUCCUAAGCUUCAGCUCACGAAGACCGUACCGUAAACCGACACAGGUGGGUAGGAUGAGAAUUCUCAGGCGCUUGAGAGAACUCGGGUGAAGGAACUAGGCAACAUGGCACCGUAACUUCGGGAGAAGGUGCACCCUUUUUGGUGGCUCAUGCGAGCUAUAGCUGAAGAGGGUCGCAGAAACCAGGCCGCUGCGACUGUUUAUCAAAAACACAGCACUCUGCAAACACGAAAGUGGACGUAUAGGGUGUGACGCCUGCCCGGUGCUGGAAGGUUAAUUGAUGGGGUCAGCCGCAAGGCGAAGCUCUUGAUCGAAGCCCCAGUAAACGGCGGCCGUAACUAUAACGGUCCUAAGGUAGCGAAAUUCCUUGUCGGGUAAGUUCCGACCUGCACGAAUGGCGUAACGACAGCGGCGCUGUCUCCACCCGAGACUCAGUGAAAUUGAAAUCGCUGUGAAGAUGCAGCGUUCCCGUGGCAAGACGGAAAGACCCCGUGAACCUUUACUAUAGCUUUACACUGAACGUUGAGUUCGUCUGUGUAGGAUAGGUGGGAGGCUAUGAAACUGUGGCGCUAGCUGCAGUGGAGCCAUCCUUGAAAUACCACCCUGUCGUGCUUGACGUUCUAACCUAGGUCCGUUAUCCGGAUCAGGGACCGUGUAUGGUGGGUAGUUUGACUGGGGCGGUCUCCUCCUAAAGAGUAACGGAGGAGCACGAAGGUACGCUCAGCGCGGUCGGACAUCGCGCACUGUGUGCAAAGGCAUAAGCGUGCUUGACUGCAAGAUCGACGGAUCAAGCAGGUACGAAAGUAGGUCUUAGUGAUCCGGUGGUUCUGUAUGGAAGGGCCAUCGCUCAACGGAUAAAAGGUACUCCGGGGAUAACAGGCUGAUACCGCCCAAGAGUUCAUAUCGACGGCGGUGUUUGGCACCUCGAUGUCGGCUCAUCACAUCCUGGGGCUGUAGUCGGUCCCAAGGGUAUGGCUGUUCGCCAUUUAAAGUGGUACGCGAGCUGGGUUCAGAACGUCGUGAGACAGUUCGGUCCCUAUCUGCCAUGGGCGUUGGAAGUUUGAGAGGGGCUGCUCCUAGUACGAGAGGACCGGAGUGGACGAACCUCUGGUGUUCCGGUUGUCACGCCAGUGGCAUUGCCGGGUAGCUAUGUUCGGAAGCGAUAACCGCUGAAAGCAUCUAAGCGGGAAGCGCGCCUCAAGAUGAGACUUCCCGGGGCACAAGCCCCCUAAAGGAACCAUAUAGACUAUGUGGUUGAUAGGUCAGGUGUGUAAGUACAGCAAUGUAUUGAGCUAACUGAUACUAAUGAUCCGUGCGGCUUGACCAUAUAACCU
Molecule: ribosomal RNA, 2895 nt
Filed under: Xanthomonas arboricola pv. populi
Lineage: Bacteria; Pseudomonadati; Pseudomonadota; Gammaproteobacteria; Lysobacterales; Lysobacteraceae
Description: bacterial LSU rRNA
Rfam family: Bacterial large subunit ribosomal RNA
Source: RNAcentral